RNAcentral lists this ribosomal RNA (376 nucleotides) under uncultured bacterium. RNAcentral describes it as "bacterial SSU rRNA". It matches the Rfam family "Bacterial small subunit ribosomal RNA", at positions 524 to 898 of the family's 1533-position model. The record is from RNAcentral.
UACAUAGGUAGCAAGCGUUAUCCGGAAUAACUGGGCGUAAAGGGAGUGUAGGUGGUUAUAUAAGUCACAUGUGAAAGCCUUGGGCUAAACCCAAGAAAUGCAUGUGAUACUGUGUAACUAGAGUGUGAGAGGGGUAAGUGGAAUUCCUAGUGUAGCGGUAGAAUGCGUAGAGAUUAGGAGGAACACCAGAGGCGAAGGCGGCUUACUGGCUCAUAACUGACACUGAGGCUCGAAAGCGUGGGGAGCAAACAGGAUUAGAUACCCUGGUAGUCCACGCCCUAAACGAUGGAUACUAGAUGUAGGUAGAAUCAACUCUAUCUGUAUCGAAGCUAACGCGAUAAGUAUCCCGCCUGAGUAGUACGGCCGCAAGGUUGAA